Molecule: RNA transcript, 594 nt
Organism: Cyprinus carpio (common carp)
Lineage: Eukaryota; Metazoa; Chordata; Actinopteri; Cypriniformes; Cyprinidae
Source: RefSeq, a predicted model, not a curated record
UUGUUGAGGAUUACUCGCCACCGGAAUCACCGCAAUUUAGUUUGCAGCAGGAGGAGGAGGAAGAUGAAGAACAGGAACACACGGAGGAUCAUUUCGUCACGGGAAUCAGACCUUACAUGUUUGAGCCGUUAUAUGCGGAGAGUUCAAACGGUCACCUGGACGUGGCGGCUCAGGAGCAAGUUCACACUCGCGAGCAUCUCGAUGUGUCCCAAUGAUUGUUGAUAAAUGUGCAGAAGCAGAACUGCAACCUGGAUGCAUGACUCAACACCCAGGUUUUGAAGCGGUCUGCUUGAACCCAUGGGUUCUUCAAGUUGAAUACGCAUCCUUGGUCCAGUAUUAUGGCGACUAUGACCAAGAUGUGUUUACUAUCGAAGAGCGAUACCGUCACACUGCCUACAGGACCUUUGUCAGAUGGUGUUGGGGCUACUUGGGAAGAAAAAUACGUGUUGUCCUCCCAUCAUGUGUUGUUGUUAAAAUAAGAUCCACAUUCACAUCAGAGAGAUACACCGGCUUCAAGCUACCUUCACUACAUCCACAAUAGCAAGUGAUAUGCAUGUACAACUGUAUGUAAUAAAUAAUGACAAAGGACUUUAA